Molecule: long non-coding RNA, 374 nt
Filed under: Anas platyrhynchos platyrhynchos (common mallard)
Lineage: Eukaryota; Metazoa; Chordata; Aves; Anseriformes; Anatidae
Description: lncRNA (ENSAPLG00000030650.1)
Source: RNAcentral
AGAAGAAAAAUAACAUUUAAUAUUGGCUGAAUGAGGCAACUACCAGAGAUACAUAGAAGUGUUGGACCUGCCAUGCACAAAGCUUGAACUGAAGUCUUACUUCUAGUAAGAGUCUUUGAGAGGAGAAAAUUAUUCUUCUGUAUCUCCAUUGCUGUCUAUAGCAUUGGCUUAGAGCACUCUGGACAUUUGAACAUCUGGUGGACCUGGAGAUUGCUAGCAUAGAAGGUAAUUUGCAAACUGUUUCUUCUAAAUUAGCCAGAUCUUGAUGUGUUUUGGGACAGCCAGAAGAUUUUCUGCACUAGUUCAGUAUGAAUAGUUUUUAUUGUAAACCAUGCGUAGAUUAACUCAGCAAAUCUUAUUGAAUAGUAUAUAAA